CCUUUGACGUUAGCGGCGGACGGGUGAGUAACACGUGGGUAACCUACCUAUAAGACUGGGAUAACUUCGGGAAACCGGGGCUAAUACCGGAUAAUAUUUCGAACCGCAUGGUUCGAUAGUGAAAGAUGGUUUUGCUAUCACUUAUAGAUGGACCUGCGCCGUAUUAGCUAGUUGGUAAGGUAACGGCUUACCAAGGCGACGAUACGUAGCCGACCUGAGAGGGUGAUCGGCCACACUGGAACUGAGACACGGUCCAGACUCCUACGGGAGGCAGCAGUA
This 279-nucleotide ribosomal RNA is filed under the name uncultured Staphylococcus sp. RNAcentral's name for it is "partial 16S ribosomal RNA". It matches the Rfam family "Bacterial small subunit ribosomal RNA", at positions 83 to 355 of the family's 1533-position model. Lineage: Bacteria; Bacillati; Bacillota; Bacilli; Caryophanales; Staphylococcaceae. The record is from RNAcentral.